UCUGUCACCAGAAGAAAUCUUCACCGGUUUUGCUUUUUAACCCAAUUAAGAUUAUCGUUUAUAAUUGCCUAAUAUUAUAACUAUCUUUAUUCAUGGUUCUAUAUGGUUAUUUCAUUUCUAUUACAGUCGGGCGAAAAAGGACGUCGAUGUGAGUAGCCAUACUGAUCCUCUACAAGAACCUGCACUGCUUCCCCUCCUUCAAAGAAACUACCCAACCCACACUGUAAAAUGGUUGAUGUUAGGAAGAGCAUCUAACUGCAGAAACUAUGACGAUGGAGCACAAUAUAGUCUUUGGACACAUCAGCUCCUGUCAAACUGUCCGACCCAUGCCAGCAUGGAAUACAGAUGUUAACUGAUGAUAUCACUGUUUUAAGGUUUAGGUUUAAACAGGAUUUCUGUUUUUUCAUUUAAAUGUUUAAAAAUUUUCUACCACAGUUGAGAGAUUCCUCCCUCUUAUAUUACAGCAUCACAUCACAUCACACCUUUAGAUUAGCCUGUAGAAUGAAACAAGAAUAAAAUGAAUGUCUAAGACAUCCUGUAGCAAAGUACAAGGAAAUGUUUAGAUUCAACCAACUGUCAUGGACUAAACAGCUACUUGACCAACCAAUCAUAAAUAUGAAUCCUCCAUGUGGUCACUUGACCUGGUACAAAUAACAGAAAAAUCUGUCUCUAAUCACAGGGGCAGCUGCAGAAGAGAUUGGAUGGUAACAGUUGGAAUAAAGUUGAUCAAGGUUGUAGCUGGAAUAUUUGGUAGUCACAGACACUUCGGAAUCAAAAGCAGGUUGCUGAGUUUCAACAAUCAGGAUUUGUGGUGGGGAUAAGUGACAUUCGUGGUCAUUAAACCACUAUGAUCUAUAACAGAAAUCUCUGUACCAGAACAAAUCAAGAUUUGCCCAAAUAUUGAUCACAUUGCCAAAGGAACUGACCAUUUAGACAUUUGAUAAACAGGAUAUGAUCAGCAAGCUGUCCCUUUUCCUAAAGAAUAAAUAAAACUCUUUUACCAACAGGCUGUGGAUUCUGACCGUCAUGAUGCUACAUACAAUCUCUUGCCUUCCUGCUUCAUAUUUGUUGUAAAUACCUGUUCAGUCAUUUGUUGUAGCAACAUCCUAUAUUUUGUUAAUAAUGAAGAAUAAAUAUCUUUUCCUUUAAAA
Long non-coding RNA from Octopus bimaculoides (California two-spot octopus), 1151 nucleotides. RefSeq lists it as uncharacterized. Lineage: Eukaryota; Metazoa; Mollusca; Cephalopoda; Octopoda; Octopodidae. The record is from RefSeq and is a predicted model, not a curated record.